Cydia pomonella (codling moth) is the source of this 1016-nucleotide long non-coding RNA. RefSeq lists it as uncharacterized. The record is from RefSeq and is a predicted model, not a curated record. The transcript is spliced from 2 exons. NCBI's taxonomy places the organism in Eukaryota, Metazoa, Arthropoda, Insecta, Lepidoptera, Tortricidae.
UAAACCUAACCUAACCUACCAACAGACGUUUCUGUCUGCUCAGGGGUCACGGUUCUAACCUAACCUAACCUAUCAACAGCGGGUCACGGUUUAAACCUAACCAACCUGUCUCUAAUGCCAUCGAAGUUCAAAUCAAACCUAACCUAAUUUUAUUAUUUUUAGAAUACUUCAAAUAUCUAGUUUUAUAAAUAUUCUCGUUCAUUACAAAGUUGAAUGUUGAAAUCUCUAUUUCACACAAUGGAAUUUUAAUGUGACUUUAAUGUAUGUAUAAUCUACUUAGUAAUUGAGCUUAUCAUAAUUGUUAGCCAAAUUCCAAUAACACGUAUUUAGAAGCAAAACAAGUUAUCAAUUAUCAAACAAGACUUUGUAUUGAAACAAGAUUUUUAAUGAUCAAGAGUUGUAUAUAUAUAUAAAGACCUACGACGAUUUCUUUUUUAUACUACUAUCGAUUGACCCACGCUGUACUCCUACACCAGAAGGCAUCAAUAUGUCGAACUCCCCAUCAAAUGUCUUCGACGGCCAAGACUAUACAUUUAAGCAGUACUAUUAUCCAGUGUCAGAUGCAUAGGACAGCCUAACUUGUGUACCAGACGAGCCGGUGAAGCGAAAAUUAAACACACACUCAAAUAUCGAUGCAUUCUUUGACCAGCCAAAGAUAAAGAGGAAGAAAAACGUGUCUUCCACUGUAGGAAAAGGCUGUAAAGGGGGUGGUAUAUCAUAUAUAUCUACAAACAAAGACGAUGGUACGAAUUCGACACAUCUAAUCAAAAUAGAAAUAUUUGAUAUGAAAAAACUAUCCAAAGUUUCUGAUACAACUAAACACUGGAUGUUUGCGGAUGUGCGUGCAAAAUAUUUCGUGAUGGAAAAUGAAACAAAUAAGCACUUACAGCAAGCUAAAGAUCUCAUUUACGGAAUCACGAAGGAGAUUUCCGAAUCCGACGAGUGUAAAAAGUACCAUUUUAAUUCAAAAGUCUAAUCACUGUUGUCUAAUUGUGAAUAAAAAUAUAUAGUUUAUA